RNAcentral lists this ribosomal RNA (301 nucleotides) under uncultured bacterium. Its description in RNAcentral is "partial 16S ribosomal RNA". It matches the Rfam family "Bacterial small subunit ribosomal RNA", at positions 509 to 807 of the family's 1533-position model. The record is from RNAcentral.
CAGCCGCCGCGGUAAAACGGAGGGCGCGAGCGUUACCCGGAUUUACUGGGCGUAAAGGGCGUGUAGGCGGCCUGUGGCGUCCCAUGUGAAAGGCCACGGCUCAACCGUGGAGGAGCGUGGGAUACGCUCAGGCUAGAGGGUGGGAGAGGGUGGUGGAAUUCCCGGAGUAGCGGUGAAAUGCGCAGAUACCGGGAGGAACGCCGAUGGCGAAGGCAGCCACCUGGUCCACUUCUGACGCUGAGGCGCGAAAGCGUAGGGAGCAAACAGGAUUAGAUACCCCCGUAGUCCCUGUCUCUUAUAC